This 496-nucleotide ribosomal RNA is filed under the name uncultured bacterium. Its description in RNAcentral is "partial 16S ribosomal RNA". It matches the Rfam family "Bacterial small subunit ribosomal RNA", at positions 28 to 506 of the family's 1533-position model. The record is from RNAcentral.
GAUGAACGCUGGCGGCGUGCCUAAUACAUGCAAGUCGAGCGAACGGACGAGAAGCUUGCUUUUCUGAUGUUAGCGGCGGACGGGUGAGUAACACGUGGAUAACCUACCUAUAAGACUGGGAUAACUUCGGGAAACCGGAGCUAAUACCGGAUAAUAUUUUGAACCGCAUGGUUCAAAAGUGAAAGACGGUCUUGCUGUCACUUAUAGAUGGAUCCGCGCUGCAUUAGCUAGUUGGUAAGGUAACGGCUUACCAAGGCAACGAUGCAUAGCUGACCUGAGAGGGUGAUCGGCCACACUGGAACUGAGACACGGUCCAGACUCCUACGGGAGGCAGCAGUAGGGAAUCUUCCGCAAUGGGCGAAAGCCUGACGGAGCAACGCCGCGUGAGUGAUGAAGGUCUUCGGAUCGUAAAACUCUGUUAUUAGGGAAGAACAUAUGUGUAAGUAACUGUGCACAUCUUGACGGUACCUAAUCAGAAAGCCACGGCUAACUACGA